AGAUAGGUGGCUCGAAAAACCGUAACGGAGUAAAUCCAUUCGACGUAGGUCCCAUCGGCCAAAGUUUAUCGACCUUCAAUCGCCAAAAAAAAAUUUGUCCAAGAAAUCUAUUUUAAGAUACCUAAUUAGAUAUUCGUAUUUAAUAUUACACGCACAACAACUCACAAAUAAUUUCUAUACAUAGUUAUUCUUUCUCAGUUACGAACGUGACGAUUUUCACUCGAUACAAUAUGACUAAUCCGUUUAAGCUUUAUACAUUAUUAUGUUAACACUCCUCUGUAUCCAAAUAUUCGAUGAAAAAAUAACUGACCAGUUUCAUACUUUUCAAUGGAUUUUGGUAAAGUUAACUGGCCGACUACUAUCAAUCUGACAUUGGAACGAAUGCAUUUACACAAUACGUUGCUUCG
Molecule: non-coding RNA, 407 nt
Organism: Cinara cedri
Lineage: Eukaryota; Metazoa; Arthropoda; Insecta; Hemiptera; Aphididae
Source: the annotation of a GenBank genome assembly